UAAAAUGACCGAAGUGUGACUUUUAAAAUGUAAAAUAAAGUCGUACAAUUCUUUUGUUUUCUAGUUGAUAUAAAUAAGUGUGCAUGAGAAGUAGAAUGGCAUUAUUCUCUCCAAAACGCAAGUAAUUUUUUCAAGUUUUAACUUGUUAAUUAUCAAUGCAAUCGCAUAGAAAAUCGAAUUCUCUUAUGUGUUAUUCAAGAAUAUUUAAGGAAAAACUUGCACCUACUUAUUCCCUCGCAGUAGCUAUUGGGUUUCGUAUGUCCAGAAUACUCGAACAAAGCCAUGUCAGACUUCGCAGUGGUAGAAUUCGUCCUAAGGUAGGAAACUCACGUCUUGGGCACCGACUGAUAAAUUGCUUUUUCCAAGAAAGAACCCUUGAGUCAGGUGUAUAGGACUGAAAACUUUGCUUUAAAAGGAGGGCGCCCCAGUAUUGGAGUCUGAUAAGGGAGAGGAUUGUUGAAUUUGGAAGGGUUGAAGUUGCGGAAUAAAUGAACUCUGUUGAUUAUGAGGUUGAACUGUGUUCAUCAUGCCAAAACUAAGAAAGGAAUGAUAUUCAUUAGGAUUAGCAAAAUUACGACUGUCGUUUGUUGGAGUUAGAGGAACAUUUACCAUCAUGCCUCCAGGUGGAGAUGUCGACGCCGCAGAAGAUGGAACAGUGACAGAGUUUGAAACUCCACUUUGUAAAAACGAAGGAUAUGUGGACGCAGGUUGACAGAAGUUGGUCUCAUUGAAGUGUAAAGGCCCAGGAAUUGUCCAUUGAUCAAACUGACUACCUGUUGAAAACAUUCCAGAACAAGCCGGCAUGGGAGGAGUUACACUUUCAUACCCACAGGAAGCUGUAACAGAAGAAACUACUGUAAAACUGGAUUUCUUUAAUUUACUUAAGUUGCAAU
Molecule: long non-coding RNA, 893 nt
Filed under: Limulus polyphemus (Atlantic horseshoe crab)
Lineage: Eukaryota; Metazoa; Arthropoda; Merostomata; Xiphosura; Limulidae
Description: uncharacterized LOC111084888, transcript variant X2
Source: RNAcentral